RNAcentral lists this unclassified non-coding RNA (354 nucleotides) under fungal sp. Its description in RNAcentral is "partial internal transcribed spacer region". The stretch from base 1 to 46 matches the Rfam family "Eukaryotic small subunit ribosomal RNA", at positions 1786 to 1831 of the family's 1831-position model. The record is from RNAcentral. Lineage: Eukaryota; Fungi.
AAGUCGUAACAAGGUUUCCGUAGGUGAACCUGCGGAAGGAUCAUUAAACGUUUUCCAACGUACCAACCACGUGAACUCGUUUUCGAGUGUCUGCGGUCGGCCUUGAGGGCGUCAAAGUAUGGUGGGCAUCCGCGGGCCGCAAGGCUCGAGGCUCUGCUGUUUGACGUUCUGCAUCGUCUUCGGACGAGACAAGCCGCGCCUCAGCAACCAUUUAUUCUUUAAUUAUUUUUUAAAACGCAUUGUACCACUCGUACUAACACUUUGUGAAGUCGGCAGAGCGUGCUUGCGCGCACUCCGAUGAACUUAAAGACAUUAAUUGCUGAACAACUCUUAGCAACGGAUAUCUUGGUUCUC